GGAACGAGAAAAACCUUCAGCUUCUGCGUCAACAUACUGGAAAAGCAGCUGAAAAUAGGAAUAUAGCACCAGUUCAGAGCAAAUGUCAUCUCAAGGCAGAUGAUAAAACAGAGAGUUCUAAGCAUGUAGCUACAGUGGUAAGUAAGGACUCCAUAUUAACAAGAAAAACCUCUAGUAGAACCAUGCUCAGUAUAAGUGGCCAUCUGCUGUGAUUGGCUAGCUUUAGAGGGCAGAAAGUAAACAGAAAAAAAAAACACAGAAGCACCAGUCCAGGAGUAGUUUAUUUGGGAAAGAAUACAGCACACACCGUUAGUGACAUCACUAAUACCAUUAGUAGUUCCAUCUAAGAAACACAAUAAAACAAGAAAGCACUGAGCCAGUAGUAGUAUCAAUGGGAUAAGAAAAUUAA
This is a long non-coding RNA of Girardinichthys multiradiatus, 409 nucleotides long. RefSeq lists it as uncharacterized. Lineage: Eukaryota; Metazoa; Chordata; Actinopteri; Cyprinodontiformes; Goodeidae. The transcript has 2 exons. The record is from RefSeq and is a predicted model, not a curated record.